Molecule: ribosomal RNA, 403 nt
Filed under: uncultured bacterium
Lineage: Bacteria
Description: partial 16S ribosomal RNA
Rfam family: Bacterial small subunit ribosomal RNA
Source: RNAcentral
GACGAACGCUGGCGGCGUGCCUAAUACAUGCAAGUCGAACGCAGUGGGGACGGGUGAGUAACACGUGGGUAACCUCCCAUCAGAGGGGAUAACACUUGGAAACAGGUGCUAAACCGAUACUGAUGGAUGAACCCGCGGUGCAUUAGCUAGUUGGUGAGGUAACGGCUCACCAAGGCCACGAUGCAUAGCCGACCGGGGAGGGUGAUAGGCCAGACUGGGACUGAGACAAGGCCCAGACUCCGACGGUGGGCAGCAGUAGGGAAACAUCGGCAAUUGAAGAAAGUCUGACCGAGCAACGCCGCGUAGGUGGAGUAGUUUUUGGGAGCGAAUAACUCUGUUGUUAGGGAAACGGGAUUUAACCAGAGAGGCACGGCUAGCUAGGAGGCAGCAGCCGCGGUAAUAC